This 1346-nucleotide ribosomal RNA is filed under the name uncultured bacterium. RNAcentral describes it as "bacterial SSU rRNA". It matches the Rfam family "Bacterial small subunit ribosomal RNA", at positions 28 to 1381 of the family's 1533-position model. The record is from RNAcentral.
GACGAACGCUGGCGGCGUGCUUAACACAUGCAAGUCGAACGGAAAGGCCCUGCUUUUGUGGGGUGCUCGAGUGGCGAACGGGUGAGUAACACGUGAGUAACCUGCCCUUGACUUUGGGAUAACUUCAGGAAACUGGGGCUAAUACCGGAUAGGGGCUCCUGCUGCAUGGUGGGGGUUGGAAAGUUUCGGCGGUUGGGGAUGGACUCGCGGCUUAUCAGCUUGUUGGUGGGGUAGUGGCUUACCAAGGCUUUGACGGGUAGCCGGCCUGAGAGGGUGACCGGCCACAUUGGGACUGAGAUACGGCCCAGACUCCUACGGGAGGCAGCAGUGGGGAAUAUUGCACAAUGGGCGGAAGCCUGAUGCAGCAACGCCGCGUGCGGGAUGACGGCCUUCGGGUUGUAAACCGCUUUCGCCUGUGACGAAGCGUGAGUGACGGUAAUGGGUAAAGAAGCACCGGCUAACUACGUGCCAGCAGCCGCGGUGAUACGUAGGGUGCGAGCGUUGUCCGGAUUUAUUGGGCGUAAAGGGCUCGUAGGUGGUUGAUCGCGUCGGAAGUGUAAUCUUGGGGCUUAACCCUGAGCGUGCUUUCGAUACGGGUUGACUUGAGGAAGGUAGGGGAGAAUGGAAUUCCUGGUGGAGCGGUGGAAUGCGCAGAUACCAGGAGGAACACCAGUGGCGAAGGCGGUUCUCUGGGCCUUUCCUGACGCUGAGGAGCGAAAGCGUGGGGAGCGAACAGGCUUAGAUACCCUGGUAGUCCACGCUGUAAACGGUGGGUACUAGGUGUGGGGUCCAUUCCACGGGUUCCGUGCCGUAGCUAACGCUUUAAGUACCCCGCCUGGGGAGUACGGCCGCAAGGCUAAAACUCAAAGGAAUUGACGGGGCCCCGCACAAGCGGCGGAGCAUGCGGAUUAAUUCGAUGCAACGCGUAGAACCUUACCUGGGUUUGACAUGGAUCGGGAGUGUUCAGAGAUGGGUGUGCCUCUUUUGGGGUCGGUUCACAGGUGGUGCAUGGCUGUCGUCAGCUCGUGUCGUGAGAUGUUGGGUUAAGUCCCGCAACGAGCGCAACCCUUGUUCACUGUUGCCAGCACGUUAUGGUGGGGACUCAGUGGAGACCGCCGGGGUCAACUCGGAGGAAGGUGGGGAUGACGUCAAGUCAUCAUGCCCCUUAUGUCCAGGGCUUCACGCAUGCUACAAUGGCUGGUACAGAGAGUGGCGAGCCUGUGAGGGUGAGCGAAUCUCGGAAAGCCGGUCUCAGUUCGGAUUGGGGUCUGCAACUCGACCUCAUGAAGUCGGAGUCGCUAGUAAUCGCAGAUCAGCAACGCUGCGGUGAAAAAGUUCCCGGGGCU